CUUUUAUGGAGAGUUUGAUCCUGGCUCAGGACGAACGCUGGCGGCGUGCCUAAUACAUGCAAGUCGAGCGCGGGAAGCGAGUGGAUCCCUUCGGGGUGAAGCUCGUGGAACGAGCGGCGGACGGGUGAGUAACACGUGGGCAACCUGCCUGUAAGAUCGGAAUAACCCCAGGAAACCGGGGCUAAUGCCGGGUAAUACUUUCUUUCGCAUGAAGGAAAGUUGAAAGAUGGCUUCUUGCUAUCACUUACAGAUGGGCC
Molecule: ribosomal RNA, 257 nt
Filed under: Halobacillus aidingensis
Lineage: Bacteria; Bacillati; Bacillota; Bacilli; Caryophanales; Bacillaceae
Description: 16S rRNA. Bacterial SSU
Rfam family: Bacterial small subunit ribosomal RNA
Source: RNAcentral